CCUUUUUUUGAUAAAAAAUGUCACCGGGAAUUUUCCCUCCAACAUUAAAAUGUUACCCGCGAAUUAAGUAAAUUUAUUAAAGAACAAAACAAAAUUGGGUCUUAGGGUUAGGACAAUCCCCAAUUCUCCAUUCUUUCCUCGAUCUUUCAAUACGCAAGAAAAAGAACGGCUCACAUCUCACAUCUUCAAUACGUAGAUUUUACUUAAUUCUUAGUGGAUAUUAUGCUUAGUAGAUUUUGCUGAACUCUUGUCUCCACUAUUACUCCGGGAACUCGUCUUUGUAGACUGCUUUACUAAGGUGUUUUCUGUGAAAUUGAUGCUUUACUUGGUAUAUUUUGGUGUGAAACUGCUCCGUUGAAGGAAUCAGUAAGGAGCAGUCUCUGAAACGAGUACAAUAUCUGUGAUUUUUAAGUUUUGCUAUUUUUGAGCUUUGCUAUUUCUCCAUUGAAGGAAUCGAUAUUCUCCGUUGAAGGAAUCGACUGUUGUUGUUGUUGAACGAGGAAUGGGGAAGGCAUUUGGAGUGUAUUGCAGCGAUUUCCCCAUUUCAAUUGAGAAAGUUUUUGUUCUGCAAAAAACUUAGCUUGGUCAAUUCUUGAGGGCUUGGAUCGAUUGGCAACUUGAGGAUAAAAUUGGAAGCACAAUAAGAGCGUUGUUCAACAGGAUCGCGGUUCUCUUGUCAUAUAAAUUCAAUCUCGGUGCUUCUGGACUGCAUAUAGCUAGUUUUAUAGUGUUUCUCUUUCUGAAGGUGUUAAUGCUUCAACUUGCAUAACUGCCAAAUUGAGAAGCCUUUGCAUAUGGAAACAACUUGUGGCUCUCUUCUCUCUGAGAUGCAGAAAAUAUGGGAUGAGAUGGGAGAGCCAGAUAUCGAAAGAGAUAAGAUGCUUUUUGAACUUCAACAAGAGUGCCUGGAGGUAUAUUGAAGAAAAGUGAAUCAGGCAAGUUGUUGCCGGGAUCAAUUGCAGCAAGCUGUUGCAAGCUCUGAAGCAGAACUUGCAAAGAUAUGUGCAACAUUAGGAGAACAAUCAUCAUACUCUAGGAAGGUUAGAGACAAACAAAAAUCUCUCCUUUGGAGCAUUCAAUAAAACUUCAGGAUCUUUUGCUUGGUAUGUAGAACUUUUUUAACAUCGGGAGCUUCUUUACAUAGAAGAGUACCAAAAUUUUGAAGGAAGAGCUUGAGGCUAUUAAGCCUCAGCUAGAAGAGAUGAAGAGGAGAAAAAGAGAGAGGACUAACCAAUAUGCAGCUGUUGUCGACCAGAUUCAGUCUAUCUCGAAAGAGCUUUGUUUACACUUCCAAGAGAAUGCACAAAUGGGUGUAAUUGAUGAGAAUGAGUUGUAUAUCAAAAGAAGCCUUUUUCUGUUUCAUCUCUUUGCUUGCUUCGAUAUCUGCAUGUUUUAAAUCGAGAUUGCUGUAUUGAAUAAAAGAGAUAAAAAGUUUCAACUUUUGCAAAA
This is a long non-coding RNA of Capsicum annuum, 1449 nucleotides long. RefSeq lists it as uncharacterized. The transcript is spliced from 5 exons. NCBI's taxonomy places the organism in Eukaryota, Viridiplantae, Streptophyta, Magnoliopsida, Solanales, Solanaceae. The record is from RefSeq and is a predicted model, not a curated record.